Mustela erminea (ermine) is the source of this 107-nucleotide small nuclear RNA. Lineage: Eukaryota; Metazoa; Chordata; Mammalia; Carnivora; Mustelidae. The record is from RefSeq and is a predicted model, not a curated record.
GUGCUCGCUUUGGCAGCACAUAGACUAAAACUGGAACAACCCAGAGAAGAUUAGCAUGGCCCCUAUAUAAGAAUGCCUUGCAGGGACGCCUGGGUGGCUCAGUUGGU